GCAAGUCGAACGCGAUUUUCUCGGUUAGCAAUAACUGAGGAAAUUGAGUGGCGAAUGGGUGCGUAACACGUGGGAAUUUAUCCGGAAGUGGGGGAUAGCUCGUCGAAAGGCGAAUUAAUACCGCAUAUGCCUGUAAGGGCAAAGUGGGGGACCGCAAGGCCUCACGCUAUCGGAGGAGCCCGCGCCCUAUCAGCUAGUUGGCGAGGUAAUGGCUCACCAAGGCUUAGACGGGUAGCUGGUCUGAGAGGACGACCAGCCACACUGGAACUGAGACACGGUCCAGACACCUACGGGUGGCAGCAGUCGAGGAUUUUUCUCAAUGGGGGCAACCCUGAAGGAGCGACGCCGCGUGGAGGAUGAAGGGCUUCGGCUCGUAAACUCCUGUCACCGACGAACAAGACAUCCGAAUUAAUAACUCGGAUGUUUGAUGGUAGUCGGAGAGGAAGGGGCGGCUAACUCUGUGCCAGCAGCCGCGGUGAUACAGAGGCCCCAAGCGUUGUUCGGAUUUACUGGGCGUAAAGGGUGUGUAGGGGGUUAGGUUAGUCUGACGUGAAAUACCGUUGCUCGACAACGGAACUGCGUCGGAUACUGCCUAGCUAGAGGUUCGGAGAUGAGGGCGGAAUUCUCGGUGUAGCGGUGAAAUGCGUAGAUAUCGAGAGGAACGCCGAUGGCGAAAGCAGCCCUCAAGACGAAAUCUGACCCUGAAACACGAAGGCCAGGGGAGCAAACGGGAUUAGAUACCCCGGUAGUCCUGGCAGUAAACGGUGCUCAUUAGAUGUAGGCGGAUUCGACCCCGCCUGUGUCGAACCUAACGGAUUAAAUGAGCCGCCUGGGAAGUACGGUCGCAAGAUUAAAACU
Molecule: ribosomal RNA, 858 nt
Filed under: uncultured Verrucomicrobiales bacterium
Lineage: Bacteria; Pseudomonadati; Verrucomicrobiota; Verrucomicrobiia; Verrucomicrobiales
Description: bacterial SSU rRNA
Rfam family: Bacterial small subunit ribosomal RNA
Source: RNAcentral